Molecule: non-coding RNA, 72 nt
Organism: Carassius carassius (crucian carp)
Lineage: Eukaryota; Metazoa; Chordata; Actinopteri; Cypriniformes; Cyprinidae
Source: the annotation of a RefSeq genome assembly
GGGGGUAUGGCUCAAUGAAAGAGCAUUUGACUGCAAAUCAAGAGGGCCCCGGUUCAAAUCCGGGUGCCCCUU